UCGGGAAUUUUGAACAAGAGAAAACCCCGGUACGUGUACUGGGUUGAUAGUAUUGUUAGAAUAAGCAUCGGCUAACUUCGUGCCAGCAGCCGCGGUAAGACGAAGGAUGCAAGCGUUAUCCGGAUUCAUUGGGUUUAAAGGGUGCGUAGGCUGACUGAUAAGUCAGUGGUGAAAUCUCUCGGCUUAACCGAGAAACUGCCAUUGAUACUGUUAGUCUAGAGUACAGAUGAUGUGGGCGGAAUAUGGCAUGUAGUGGUGAAAUACUUAGAUAUGUCAUAGAACACCGAUUGCGAAGGCAGCUCACAAAACUGUAACUGACGCUGAGGCGCGAAAGUGCGGGGAUCAAACAGGAUUAGAUACCCACGUAGUCCCUGAGCGGGCUGGCAAGGCGCAU
This 394-nucleotide ribosomal RNA is filed under the name uncultured bacterium. Its description in RNAcentral is "bacterial SSU rRNA". It matches the Rfam family "Bacterial small subunit ribosomal RNA", at positions 423 to 825 of the family's 1533-position model. The record is from RNAcentral.